Molecule: ribosomal RNA, 639 nt
Filed under: uncultured Alphaproteobacteria bacterium
Lineage: Bacteria; Pseudomonadati; Pseudomonadota; Alphaproteobacteria
Description: bacterial SSU rRNA
Rfam family: Bacterial small subunit ribosomal RNA
Source: RNAcentral
AUUACGAACGCUGGCGGCAGGCCUAACACAUGCAAGUCGAACGAAGCCUUCGGGCUCAGUGGCAGGGACGGGUGAGUAACGCGUGGGAACGUGCCCUUUGGUUCGGAAUAGCCCCGGGAAACUGGGCGAGUAAUACCGGAUAAGCCCUACGGGGGAAAGAUUUAUCGCCAAAGGAUCGGCCCGCGUUACGGAUUAGGUAGUUGGUGGGGUAAUGGCCUACCAAGCCGACGAUCCAUAGCUGGUUUGAGAUUGGAUGAUCAGCCACACUGGGACUGAGACACGGCCCAGACUCCUACGGGAGGCAGCAGUGGUCGGAAUCUUAGACAAUGGGGGAAACCCUGAUCUAGCCAUGCCGCGUGAUCGAUGAAGGCCUGCUAGGGUUGUAAAGAUCUUUCAGCUGGGAAGAUAAUGACUGUACCAGCAGAAGAAGCCCCGCUGCUAACUCCGUGCCAGCAGCCGCGGUAAUACGGAGGGGGCUAGCGUUGUUCGGAAUUACUCGGGGUGUAAAGCGCACGUAGGCGGAACAGAAAGUCAGAGGUGAAAUCCCAGGGCUCAACCUCUUGGAACUGCCUUUGAAACUCCUGUUCUUGAGGUCGAGAGAGGUGAGUGGAAUUCCGAGUGCCUAGAGGUAAAAUUCGU